GUGAGGUAGGGAAGGAAUAGAAUAAGAUUCCUGUCAUGUAGACUGCUUCUCCGACAUGGACUGCACUGAGGACAUAUCAGCAGGCAAAUAUUCCCAAAGAAGUCUGAGCACCGUCCCACAGGAGACAUGGUGCUCACCACUAGGGGGAGAAAAGGCACUGGCUGCCGUGUCUGUCUGCUGAAAGGAGACUGAAAUUCUACAGCGAGGGAUGGAAACAAUGGCACAAUGUCGUAGUGGAAAGUUACAGGUUCGAGGGAGGUUAGUGCCCCCUGUGGACAGAGAGCACCAGUACACCAACAAGCCGAGCUGGACUUUGGUUGAUGGAGGCCCUUGAGCUCUUUCUCGUCUUGCUUCUCAUCUUCUUGGUUUAGAGGGAAAAACUGGACGAAGGUUGGAAAAGAAGAAUGCAUAAACUCUCAUCCUUCUGGCAAUGGUACCUAAACAGCUUAAGAGGUCUUAUAGCCCUGUCAGAUCAAAGGAACGAGCCUGACCAACGGAAUGGAAAUGCAGACGCGGCCUCGGAUCCUACUCCGGGAGAAAAGGAUUCGAAUUUAAAUGGACGGUUAAAGACAGUAACAUUUCAGCAAGUUUCCGCCGCUGAAUUUAUUUAUAGCGGGACAUACUGUAUUCUCCGAGACUGCGGCAUUUGCCAUAUGGCCUCUGGAAUGAGGGAAACUGCAGACACCUGUUAAAUAGGGAUCCAUGCAAACCCAGAUUGCCUAAUGCAUAGAAAAUGAUCAAAUUGCGACACGCUUCUUCAGAGCGCUCGAGAAGACGUGGCAGGUUUGUGAAGUCGCAUACCGUGUCCGUUGGCGUCUUCGUUGGAAGCACAUCAUAGCAUUACCGGCUGACUCAGAGCGUGCGAUUUCCAGGUAAUACGUUAUUGGCAGGACAACAAUGUCGCCGGAGAGGUGAAUGUGGGAAUAUAGUGGCCUGGCUUUCCCCCGGAGUCUGGCAUCUCCAAGACUUCUGUUUUUUUUUUUUUUUUUUCCCCUGGCGUUACACAUGGCUUCUCUUUGGGAGUCUUUGCUUGCCCUGUUUUCUAGAGACCAGUAAACCUUGCUUAGCCUUGUACGACUCGAAACAUCUUUGCUCAGAUGGUUUUCACCGUAGUACCUUGACGAGAUAUCCAUAAUUUACAAACAAUUUAGUACAUUUUUACAACCUUCAAGUCACUUAAAUGUGCGAUAUUACAUUACUUCAUCACGCUUUCACUUGAAAUGGUUGUUACGGGGGUCCCCCCUUAUCCGGGGUUUUUCGCUUUCCGCGGUUUCGGUUACUAAAUGGAAAAUUCUGGAAAAAACAAUGAUAAGUUUUAAACUGUGCGCCGUUCUGAGUAGCAUGAUGAAAUCGCACGCCAUCCCGUCUGGAACGUGAAUCAUCCUUUCGUCCAGCGUAUCUACGCUGUAUCCGCUACCCGCCCAUUAGUCACUUAGUAGAGUCUCAGUUAUCAGAUGGACUGUCACGGUAUCGCAGUGCUUGUGCUCAAGUAAACCUUUCUUUUUAAAUAAAAAAAAAUAGUAUAUACA
Molecule: long non-coding RNA, 1529 nt
Filed under: Scleropages formosus (Asian bonytongue)
Lineage: Eukaryota; Metazoa; Chordata; Actinopteri; Osteoglossiformes; Osteoglossidae
Description: lncRNA (ENSSFOG00015031671.1)
Source: RNAcentral